AAUGGGGGAAACCCUGACGCAGCAACGCCGCGUGAGUGAGGAAGGUCUUCGGGUCGUAAAGCUCUGUCAGGCGGGAAGAAAUGCAUGGAGGUGAACAGCCGCCAUGCUUGACGGUACCGCCAGAGGAAGCACCGGCUAACUCCGUGCCAGCAGCCGCGGUAAUACGGGGGGUGCAAGCGUUGUUCGGAAUCAUUGGGCGUAAAGAGCGUGUAGGCGGCUUGGUAAGUCAGAUGUGAAAGCCCUGGGCUCAACCCGGGAAGUGCAUUUGAAACUGCCAGGCUCGAGUAGGGGAGAGGGAAGUGGAAUUCCUGGUGUAGAGGUGAAAUUCGUAGAUAUCAGGAGGAACACCGGUGGCGAAGGCGACUUCCUGGCCCUAUACUGACGCUGAGACGCGAGAGCGUGGGUAGCAAA
Molecule: ribosomal RNA, 411 nt
Filed under: uncultured bacterium
Lineage: Bacteria
Description: bacterial SSU rRNA
Rfam family: Bacterial small subunit ribosomal RNA
Source: RNAcentral